Etheostoma cragini (Arkansas darter) is the source of this 257-nucleotide long non-coding RNA. RefSeq lists it as uncharacterized. The record is from RefSeq and is a predicted model, not a curated record. The transcript is spliced from 3 exons. Lineage: Eukaryota; Metazoa; Chordata; Actinopteri; Perciformes; Percidae.
CAAACACAAAUUGUUAAAUCUUAUCAUAUAGGUCUGGUAUAUUGAUGCUGUCCCUGAGUGACGUAACGCCUUCCGUUUUGGACUGUAUUAUUAAUAUAGGAAGUCUAUAGAUCUGGUUUCCCUACACUAUGCAAGAAUAGGCAACAUUUUUAAUUCAUUUUGCAGCAAUUCACAAACUUCUGAGAAGUCUUUUGCUUUUUCCCUGCCAGUCGUCAUGAUUUGGCGUGACGAAGAACAACUGCCAGCGUCAUUAACGU